AGUAACGGCGAGUGAAGCGGCAAGAGCUCAAAUUUGAAAGCUGGCUCCUUCGGGGUCCGCAUUGUAAUUUGCAGAGGAUGCUUCGGGAGCGGCCCCCAUCUAAGUGCCCUGGAACGGGCCGUCAUAGAGGGUGAAAAUCCCGUCUGGGAUGGGGUGUCCGCGCCCGUGUGAAGCUCCUUCGACGAGUCGAGUUGUUUGGGAAUGCAGCUCUAAAUGGGUGGUAAAUUUCAUCUAAAGCUAAAUAUUGGCCGGAGACCGAUAGCGCACAAGUAGAGUGAUCGAAAGAUGAAAAGCACUUUGAAAAGAGAGUUAAACAGCACGUGAAAUUGUUGAAAGGGAAGCGCUUGCGACCAGACUCGCCCACGGGGUUCAGCCGGCAUUCGUGCCGGUGUACUUCCCCGCGGGCGGGCCAGCGUCGGUUUGGGCGGCCGGUCAAAGGCCCUCGGAAUGUAACGCCCCCCGGGGCGUCUUAUAGCCGAGGGUGCCAUGCGGCCAGCCCAGACCGAGGAACGCGCUUCGGCUCGGACGCUGGCAUAAUGGUCGUAAGCGACCCGUCUU
RNAcentral lists this ribosomal RNA (558 nucleotides) under Penicillium oxalicum. RNAcentral describes it as "eukaryotic LSU rRNA". It matches the Rfam family "Eukaryotic large subunit ribosomal RNA", at positions 82 to 655 of the family's 3401-position model. Lineage: Eukaryota; Fungi; Ascomycota; Eurotiomycetes; Eurotiales; Aspergillaceae. The record is from RNAcentral.